RNAcentral lists this ribosomal RNA (201 nucleotides) under Triticum aestivum (bread wheat). RNAcentral's name for it is "partial small subunit ribosomal RNA". Lineage: Eukaryota; Viridiplantae; Streptophyta; Magnoliopsida; Poales; Poaceae. The record is from RNAcentral.
AUGUCAGUCUUCAAGCUUCCCAAACAAGUGUGCAAUGGGAUAACUACUGCUAUGUCCCAAUACUGGUGGGGAGAUGAGGAUGAGAAGAAGCAUAUGCAUUGGUUUGCGUGGUGGAAGAUGUGUGUCCCGAAGAGAAAUGGUCGCAUGGGGUUCAGAGAUCUACACUGUUUUAACUUGGCACUCUUGGCCAAACAAUGCUAG